This 1274-nucleotide long non-coding RNA is filed under the name Homo sapiens (human). Its description in RNAcentral is "HSALNT0352179". Lineage: Eukaryota; Metazoa; Chordata; Mammalia; Primates; Hominidae. The record is from RNAcentral.
UCAGGGAGGGCUUCCUCAGGCGCUGGCCCCAGAGUCAGGCUGCACAUUGGCUUGGAGGACAGGCCUUUCCUCUGGGACUGUGAGGCCCAGAGUGCCCACCCAGAACUCCACCUCUGACCUCACAAAGGCCUGCUUCAGAACUCGGUCUCCACGGCACUGCUGGCCAGAUGAGGGAUGUUAUUUUGGGCAGUGCAUCUGGACUUGGUUCAAGUGGCACCAGCCAAAUCCCUGCCUUACUGACCUCUCCCCUGGAGGAGCAGGAGCAGCACUCGAGGCCGCCCUGGGAGGGCUGAGAGGCAGGCUCUGGACUGGGGACACAGGGAUAGCUGAGCCCCAGCUGGGGGUGGAAGCUGAGACAGGGACAGUCACAGAGGAACAAGAUCAAGAUGCGCUUUAACUGAGAAGCCCCCAAGGCAGAGGCUGAGAAUCAGAAGACAUUUCAGCAGACAUCUACAAAUCUGAAGGACAAAACAUGGUUCAAGCAUCUGGGCACAGGCGGGCUGCCGCAGUUUGCUGGGGGUCCACUCCAGACCCUAUUCACUUGGUCCCUCCCCUACCUGGAGGUGUCACCAGUGGAAGCUGCAGAACAGCAAGGAUGGCUGCCAGCUCCUUCUUCUUUGAGCUCCAUCCCAGAGGGGCACUGAUGUGAUGCCAGCAGGAACACUCCUGUAUAAGAUAAGAUCUAAGGCACGUGAGAUGAUAUGCUUUCUGUUUGAGUUUCUCCUUUAUGUUACACAUACUGAUAAAAUUGUUGAUGCCAGUUGAUCUGAAGGUCCCAGCAAGGAGCCGACUCACAGAAGAAUGCAGUUUUCACAUCGUGAUGAUUUAAUCUUCCUUGACCUGACCAAUUGACAACCCCAAUUCUCCAGAACCUCACCCGCCACAAUCCCCUUAAAAACCCUGGCCCAGAACCCCUCAAGCAGACAGAUUUGAAGCUUGAGGAUUCCUUCAUCUCUUUGCCCAAUGGCAUUGUGAUUAUUAAACUCUUUUUCUGCUGCAAAUUAUGAUGUCUCAGUGUAUUGGUCUAUUGCUGCUCAGUGGGCAUAUGAAUCUGGCAGUCCUGUAAUAGGGACAAAAGAUAAACUACUGGCAAAACACUCGUAAAAGUCAUAACCUAAGACAUAGGCCCACUGAAAGGCGGAUAUUCAAUCAGAGCACUAUAGAACAUAUUUCUCUGCUCAUACCAUAAAAUUUAAACCAACAUGACUCCAAUAUAAGGAGACAGACAAAAGAGCUAUAAGAAACAGACACUGUUUGAAGAUGAGUACUUAAGG